GCUGGGAGCUGGGACCCGCACCGGGCUCCCCAGGGCAGGUUGGGCAUGGGCACCUUGGGGAGCCCAGGGAAGGGGCGCGAGGAGGGCCUGGAGCCUCCCUGUAAUUAGGGAGGGGAGGCCAGGAGCUGGGACCCUCAGCUGGGGCGCAGCAGCCUGAGGGACCCCAUCCAUGGCUGCGUGGGGGCGAGGGGCAGCGGGCACCAAGUGGAGCACAUCAGGAAGUGUUUCUGCCCAUGGCUGAGCGCAGGCACAGGUCACCCAGAGGGUCUGUGGGGUCUCCAUCAUUGGAGGUCUCCAAACCCACCUGGGCUUGGCGCUGGGUGGCCCUGCUGGAGCAGGGUGGCACCGGGUGACACCAGGAGGUCCCUGCCCACCCCAGCCCCUCGUGUACCAGCCGCACCUCCUCUGUCUGGCCCAGCACACGCAGCAGCAGCUGCAGGAGGCUGCAGCAAGCAGCUUGCUGCUGCCACCCUCCUGCCAGCAGCCUCCUUCCAGGGACAGCUGCUCAGCCUCAUCCUGCCAGGGGCUGGCUCUUGUCACCCGGCCUGUGCCAAUGCCCCGACAUCUCCGCUGGACUCUCUCCAGUCCUUCUUGUACUGGGAGCCCGCUCUGGCACUGGUGCCUGGACCUGCUCUCGUGCUCCCUGCCCUCAGCCCACCACCCCAGCUCUCACCCAGGGCCAUCGCUGUAUGGCCGGGCUGUGAAAAGGAAAGCAGCAUCGCCCCAAAUUGCCCGUCACCUUCCUUCCUGCUGCCAGAGCAGAGGGUGCAGCACUGCCGCCCACCCAGGUCUCUGUCCUGGGUGAGGAUAUUCCCAGAACAUCCUGGGGCACCCCAAACAUCUCUGCACACUCUGAAAAUCCCAAAGCACUCAGAGCAUCCCAGAGCAUCCCAAAGCACCCAGAGCAUCACGGAGUACUCUGAGCAUCCCUGCACAACCCAAGCAUCUAGGAUACUCUCAGAGUACCCUGAGCAUCCCGGUGCACCUGGAGCAUCCCAGAGCACCUUGAGCAUCCUCUGGGGUAUCCCAAACAUCCCUGUGCACCCAGAGUAUGCUCUGGGGUACCCAAAGUAUCCCUGUUCACCUGGAGA
RNAcentral lists this long non-coding RNA (1091 nucleotides) under Anas platyrhynchos platyrhynchos (common mallard). Its description in RNAcentral is "lncRNA (ENSAPLG00000017555.1)". The record is from RNAcentral. Lineage: Eukaryota; Metazoa; Chordata; Aves; Anseriformes; Anatidae.